This 253-nucleotide unclassified non-coding RNA is filed under the name uncultured Paracoccaceae bacterium. Its description in RNAcentral is "uncultured Rhodobacteraceae bacterium contains 16S-23S intergenic spacer region". It matches the Rfam family "Bacterial small subunit ribosomal RNA", at positions 524 to 776 of the family's 1533-position model. The record is from RNAcentral. Lineage: Bacteria; Pseudomonadati; Pseudomonadota; Alphaproteobacteria; Rhodobacterales; Paracoccaceae.
UACGGAGGGGACUAGCGUUGUUCGGAAUUACUGGGCGUAAAGCGCGCGUAGGCGGACUAUUAAGUCAGGGGUGAAAUCCCGGGGCUCAACCCCGGACCUGCCCUUGAUACUGGUAGUCUGGAGCUCUGGAGAGGUGAGUGGAAUUCCGAGGGUAGAGGUGAAAUUCGUAGAUAUUCGGAGGAACACCAGUGGCGACGGCGGCUCACUGGCCAGAUACUGGCGCUGAGGUGAUAAAGUGUGGGGAGCGAACAGG